Molecule: long non-coding RNA, 480 nt
Filed under: Homo sapiens (human)
Lineage: Eukaryota; Metazoa; Chordata; Mammalia; Primates; Hominidae
Description: HSALNT0270582
Source: RNAcentral
CCCACAGCGGGUGGUAACUCCAGUUCUAGCCAGGACAGAUUCAGAGCCCUCAGGACUCAGGGGCACACACAAGCCACACAGGUGGGGCUGCAGAUGUGGGGCUCACCGUGCUGGAGCCAGGCUGGUUGGCACUGGCAUGGGACCUGGGGAAUCAGCCCUCGGCUGGGCAGCCAGGAUGCCUCCUGCUCUCUUUCCUCCAUCCCACCCCUUCCACUUCCAGAGGCCCCGGGAUAUUUUUAAGGGGAAGGGGAAGGAUAGAGAGAAAGUGCAGGCAGGGCUGGGGUCUGGGCCUGUGGGAUCCUCAGGCAGGAGGGGAGGGCUAUAUCAUGAUGGCCUGGAGCUGGGGCUGGAGGUGAGUCUUCCCGGAUGCUGGGAAUCACCAGGCGGGCAGGAGGGCUGUUCCAGGCUGAGGGAAGGGCAGGUGCAAAGCCCAGAGUGGGGAAGACGCUGGGCAGCAGUGUGGGUGGUGCAGCCGGACUG